RNAcentral lists this long non-coding RNA (1025 nucleotides) under Rosa chinensis. Its description in RNAcentral is "sRNA RchiOBHm_Chr2g0107761". The record is from RNAcentral. Lineage: Eukaryota; Viridiplantae; Streptophyta; Magnoliopsida; Rosales; Rosaceae.
CGACUUAAUCCUAAAUGUCGGUCCUUCCUCGUUCGACCUGGCGUGAUACUCCCAACCCUCUGUGGCGACGCAGAAGGUCCCCGCCAGUAGGACAUUGAGUCCCUUAGAUUCUCGAUCAGCUUGGGCGCUCCCUGCCGGCGGCUCAAGUUCACUUGCCCUUUGCAACCUCGGCGCUUCACGUACACCAGCUCGUAGAAGUGAAGCACUUCCGCCACAGUAGGCCCCUCGCACCCGGACAACCGCCAGAGUGAGUUCAUGGCCAACAUCAACCGCCACAUGUUGGGGCAAAUCUGACCAAAGGCAAGGCCAAAUUCGCACACCAGGAUUUGGAGAUUUGGCACCAGCGGGAAUGUCACUCCUUGGCGGAAUAUCGCCUCGUGAACGGCAGCAAGUCCCGCCGGGAGAAUCGAGGCCUUCUCAUCCGUUGUCGGCGGGCGCAGCUUCACGGAGCCCGGCAACCGAAACGUCUGCUUCAUUCGGUUAACACCGGCGGCGUCCAUCCGCCCUCUUGCCUCGUCGACGGCGGUGCCAUCCGAGAGGAACCACGCCGACUCAGCAUUUUGCCCAGUUACUUCUCCUUCUCCAGCGGAGCCGCUAGCAGCACUGUUGCUCGCCAAACGCUCUUUGCGCCUAGCUUUGGCAGCAGCGGCCUCACCCGCCAUUGAGCUUUCUGGACACGAACCACGACCCAUAGCUACUUCCCAGGGGAUAGUCUGGAGUGGCUCAACUUCUAGCGGUUCUGGCAGUGAGGUUCCUGCAUGGGCAGACGGACGCAACGAAUCAAUAAAAAUCCUAUCCGCCGCGCUGAACGACACGUCAGACCCGGAAUCCUCACUGCUCGAAAUCUCUAUGACUUUAGCCAUCCCAAACCCUAAAACCCACAUCAGUUAGCACAAACACAGAUCUAGCCUAUUCUCACAUCAGUUAUAGCCAAGGACAUCAAGAACAAAAACCCAGAAAAUGCCAAAAUACGAACAAACGCACUCAACCCAGAUUCGGCCAUCUAAAUCCCUAAGCACUAACGC